GUUCCAGUGGCCUAGUGGUUAGAGCAACUGCCUUAGAUGUGGGAGGUUGUGGAUUCAAUACCCUGCUGAAUCA
This is a non-coding RNA of Potamilus streckersoni, 73 nucleotides long. Lineage: Eukaryota; Metazoa; Mollusca; Bivalvia; Unionida; Unionidae. The record is from the annotation of a GenBank genome assembly.